Molecule: long non-coding RNA, 553 nt
Organism: Cyprinus carpio (common carp)
Lineage: Eukaryota; Metazoa; Chordata; Actinopteri; Cypriniformes; Cyprinidae
Exons: 2
Source: RefSeq, a predicted model, not a curated record
UGGAGAUUCUGUCCUCUUGCCAUGUUUAUACCAGGAAAAAGUGCUAAAGCCAGAGCAAAUGAAUGUGUUUUGGAGAUACAAUGAAAACAUAAUUGUUUUUAAUAUUGAAAAAGGCAUUCCCUCAACAAAUCGACAGAAUGCAAUGUUCAAAGAUCGAAUAGACAGUUUUCCCUCAAAGUAUGCAAAUGGGAACUUCUCUCUCAGACUCUCAAAUCUGGAACUCACGGACAAAGGGCAAUUCUCAUGUUCCAUCCCGGAUGUGUUUCUAAAAAACAAACUAAUGCUGCUUGUCAGAGAACCACCAACAACAGUGCUUACUGCUACAGUGUCUACUCCAAAACAAAAACCUGAUACGAGAAACUCGUCCAUCAAAGUUCCGGCAGAUGGGAUUGCAACUUUCCUGAUUGUUGUUUUCAAUUGUUUUAUUUUGCACUAUAUUGUGCUACUUUACUAGACUGCUGUAUUGCUAAACUUUGUUUUAUAUCGGUGCCUUUCUUUAACUUUAAAAUUGUUUGAACUUUGUGUAUGUAUUAAAUUUUAUUUGCUGUAUAAA